CACCACUGCCGCCGCGCUGGUUCCUGUCCGCAAGCGACAGGCGAAGAGGGAAUGCCCCAGAGGCAGCCGCCCCCGCGACCGUGACCGGAGAGGUUGUCCAUGCCACUGGCCGAAAGGCCGGGAAGGCGGACCGCCGCGGGACCGCAAGGCCCCACAUCCGCAAGCCGGGAGACCUGCCAGCGCUGAGACUUACGG
RNAcentral lists this non-coding RNA (195 nucleotides) under Cereibacter sphaeroides. The record is from RNAcentral. RNAcentral also lists the same sequence under 1 other name. Lineage: Bacteria; Pseudomonadati; Pseudomonadota; Alphaproteobacteria; Rhodobacterales; Paracoccaceae.